CAAAGUUGGAGGUUUGUCAUGGAAUGUGGGGAGCUAUCAACAAGUUGCUCAAUGACUUCAAACAAUAUCAAGCCGCAAAUAAUUCAUGAUGCAACAGUUUUGAGGUGUGCAAUGAUAACACAAAUCAUUGAUGAAGGUGCUGGUACUUUGGGGCAAGUCUUUGGUGAGGAAGAUGAACAUGAGAUAAUAUCUAAGGCAACGAAGGAAAA
This 209-nucleotide long non-coding RNA is filed under the name Solanum tuberosum (potato). RNAcentral describes it as "long non-coding RNA (STUB_LNC006124)". The record is from RNAcentral. Lineage: Eukaryota; Viridiplantae; Streptophyta; Magnoliopsida; Solanales; Solanaceae.